This 360-nucleotide long non-coding RNA is filed under the name Theobroma cacao (cacao). Its description in RNAcentral is "long non-coding RNA (TCAC_LNC003315)". The record is from RNAcentral. Lineage: Eukaryota; Viridiplantae; Streptophyta; Magnoliopsida; Malvales; Malvaceae.
AAAACACGAAGAAAACUAGAAAUGACAAUAAUUUUCACGGUAGGGGCAAAAUGGUCAUUUUUCACCUCGAGUUAAAAUUUUAAGUUUUCAUGAACCCGAGCAUGUCUAGACCAUUAUGGAUCUUGUCCCGGUGUCAAAGGAGUAAAAAGAUUGCACAAAGGGUUGCAUGAGAACAAGCUAACUAAUCAAGGGCAUUUUCGUAAUUUUAAGGGAAUGGAUAAGUUUGGCCUAUAAAUACUUUCUUCCAGCAGCUUCUUCUCCCAUUUUCCAACAGCUUGUCUUCUUCUUCUUCUUCUCUCUCACGUUUCUUCAAAACCUCCAUGGAAGCUUGAUAUGUAACUUGCAAAAUUUUCUCUCUCU